CCGCGGCGCCGCGAAUGGCGGGGGCUGGCAUCUGCGUGCGAGCGCCGAGCGCAUCGAGCCGAUGGGAUCCGUCUGCUCGGCGCUCUCCGGCCGGGCCUGGGCCCCGUGUCGCUGUCCCCGCCCCAGCCGGCGCAGGAGGGGAGUCGGGGGAGCCUCCGGCCGAGGAGACCCACGCACAGGCGAGCCCCCAUAGAGGAACCCCCCCAGGAGAGGAGAUCCCCGGUCUGACCUGAAUGUUUUUGGAGGACUUCUUGAAACUGACAACAAACUGAAAAAAGUCACUUAUUCACCCAGUUCUACUCCAUAUCUGAGUGCAAUCUGAACUCCAACCUAGCUCAGAAGAGCUAAAGAGCUGAUGGACCUCUUCAUCCUUUCCUGAAAGGUGUUCCAUGGCUGAGGCAGGAAGCUUUCCAGCCUCCGGACCCACAGCUGAGCCAGGACUGACGGCUGGCAGACUCCCCAUUCUGUGACACGAGCACAGAGAACCCUGGCUGGAGCUGGGACCUUAGGGCCUGUUAGCCUCCAUGGCAGCGUGCCAGCUCCUGGAUCCCUGGCUGGAACAGGCAGUUGUGACCUCAAAAGCCUCUUCAGGCCAACUGGCAGAGGGGCCCCCAUACUGUAAUUCACAUCAGGCCUGACACACUCAUUGCCCCAACACACUGUUGUUAUAAUAUAUAUCUCAGAGAUAUCAUGUAACGUAUCAUAAGUAAAAUGGUAACAUGCUGGUACCAAAAAUCACUGCAUGAUGUAUGUAUGAGUUGGGUACAGACAGAUACAGAUGUGUGCGGGAAAUAUGUUCUUAAAAUGCAUUUGGAAGGCAGAGCAUAAAACCCAGUCUGCCCAAGACACAGGAAUGUCCAUGUACCUGUUUGAGCACUUUGGUCACUGGCAGAAUACAAUGGAAGUAUAUUUACGUAUAAGUCAGGUUAAGAUUUUGUCAUGGUUAUUUUUAGUAAAAGUCACGGACAGGUCGUGGGCAAUAAACAAAAAUUCACAGAAGCCCAUGAUUUGUCCUUGACUUUUACUGAAAAUAAUGGGGUGGAGGCUGCUGAUUGCUGGGGGAGGAGAAACCGAAGCCUGAGCACUGCAGUGACCCUGCCACCAUGGGGGCUGACAGCUCCAUCUCCAGCCCCUGACUCUACUGCUGUGGAGGGGGCUGAAGUUGAAGAAGUCACAGAGGUUUGUUAAAGUCAAGGAAUCAGUGACCUCUGUGACUAAAUUGUAUCCUUAUAUAUAAGGUAAACUAAGCCGCCAAGCUAAAUGAGCUGUGGAGAUAACUGUUUAACAAUCACCCCAGGGAACAGAAUCUGCACCCCAAGAAGCCUUCCUGGCUCUUGAGGCAGAGACAGUGAACUUUGAGUGAUAAAAGGGGAGCAAAAAGACUUUGUAGUUAUCCAUCACUAUGGUCCCAAGAGAGUACAGCAUCCUUUGAACCUACGAAAGCUGGAGUCUAUUGGCCAGAAAGGCAAGAGCUGUUGGGAACUUGAUGGCAGUGAGAAACCUGCUUAAAUAAAGAUUGUAACUAGCUUAAAAAUUAAGUUUUAGUCACCUAAAAGCAUGUUUUGUUUUGUUUUUGGUUUGUAAGCAUACCUGUUGUUCUUAUUCUUGCUUAGUAUCCCUCAAAUCUCUGUUCUUCGUUAGUAAACUUAUUCUGGUUUUAUUUACAAACCAUCUCGGUGCUAUGUAUUUAAGUGGAGUGAGAGUCCUCUGCUAAACCAACAGGCUUGUGUGUGUUCUCUCUCUUUGGAGGCACCGAUCUUGAUUGUUUCUGUGUGUCAGUGAAAGAGGCUGGACACUGCAGAGAGACAUCUCUGGGGAACUAGGGAAUUGGUGUUCACCAGUUUUUACCUGUGUGAUGCAGACUAAAGGGGAAGGUGACUGUCUUCACUAAUAUUGUCACCAUUGUUACAAAAUUGUGAAAUCUUGUACAAAGUAUACCCUGUGAAGUAUCACUGGAAAGGUUGUAAUCCGCUAAGUAGUAUUAUCCUGUUUGAAUGUGUGGAUCAUCAUUUUAUAUGAAGUUAUGAAACUUUGCUAUGUGUUUCGUAUCUCAAAAAUGUUGUGAGGUCAAGGAAUGCCCACAGAUUAACUCUUCAGAGAUCACAAAUGGUAAACAAGGGUGAAGACACCUCAGAUGGCAAGUUGCAGAGGGGUGCAAGCAAAGAUUUGCAAGGGGCGACUCAUGGGAGCUGCACAAAGGGCCAAAUGCACCUCCAGCAGGGUCAAGUGCCCCCAGCAGCUGGCCUGGGCAGGGAGAGGAAAGGGCGGAGCCAGAGCCAGAAGGGAAGAGGUGGGGCCAGAGCCUCUCCUCUUCCAGCCACGCUGCCUGGGACGCUGCUCGGUGAGCGCAGUGGCUGACUGAGAGAGCGCCUGGCUGUGGCAGCAGCAGGUUGUCCCCUGCCCUGGCUCAGCUUCUGGAAACAGUGGCCAAACAAGCCAGAGCCCC
Molecule: long non-coding RNA, 2446 nt
Organism: Mauremys reevesii (Reeves's turtle)
Lineage: Eukaryota; Metazoa; Chordata; Testudines; Geoemydidae
Exons: 3
Source: RefSeq, a predicted model, not a curated record